UUACAGAUUGCCCAGCCUCACAUAUUCCUUCAUAGCAACACAAACGGACUGAGACAAUAUAUAAGUUAACAUCUGCCAUGUAGUGGAGGUUCCAGAGAAAAAGUGAGAGAAGCUGAGUCUGCACCCUCAACAUGGAGGAAAUAAGCUCUCUUAGGACCAAGAACAGAGGACAGAGGAAGGACUCCAGCAUGAUGGGCACCAAGGGAUUUUGGUCCUUCUGAGAAAGAGGAGGCAGAGUAUCUCUCUGUUGCUAGACUGGAGGGCAGUGGUACAAUCUUGGCUCACCGCAACUUCCACCUCCGGGGUUCAAGCGAUUCUCCUGCCUCAGCCUCCUGAGUACCUGGGAUUACAGUCUUUUUCAGAACUAUUUGAAAACAAGUUGCAGACGUGAUGCCUCACCACUCCUAAAUGCUAUGCGGUUCCAACAAUGUGUCUUUGCCUUCUGGCCCCAGAAUAUCAUCUGGGAAUGCGUGUUGCAUCAAGUUGCGUCUCUCCAGUUGCCUCCAAUUUGGAAUACAGGAGCCUGUGGACACCCUGCCACAAGUCUUUCUGUGCUCCUUCUACCCUCAAUACUACCAUGCAGUACCCUCCCCUGUGGUGGGGAAAGGAAGGAAAGAGAAAAGAAGGAAAAGUG
Molecule: long non-coding RNA, 634 nt
Organism: Pan troglodytes (chimpanzee)
Lineage: Eukaryota; Metazoa; Chordata; Mammalia; Primates; Hominidae
Exons: 6
Source: RefSeq, a predicted model, not a curated record